CAAGAGGACUGUCACUGUGGACA
Molecule: non-coding RNA, 23 nt
Filed under: Cricetulus griseus (Chinese hamster)
Lineage: Eukaryota; Metazoa; Chordata; Mammalia; Rodentia; Cricetidae
Source: RNAcentral